UACGAAGGGGGCUAGCGUUGCUCGGAAUGACUGGGCGUAACGGGCGCGUAGGCGGCGGACACAGUCAGAUGUGAAAUUCCCGGGCUCAACCUGGGGGCUGCAUUUGAUACGUGUUUGCUUGAGUGGGGAAGAGGGUCGUGGAAUUCCCAGUGUAGAGGUGAAAUUCGUAGAUAUUGGGAAGAACACCGGUGGCGAAGGCGGCGACCUGGUCCUUGACUGACGCUGAGGCGCGAAAGCGUGGGGAGCAAACAGG
RNAcentral lists this ribosomal RNA (253 nucleotides) under uncultured bacterium. RNAcentral's name for it is "partial 16S ribosomal RNA". It matches the Rfam family "Bacterial small subunit ribosomal RNA", at positions 524 to 776 of the family's 1533-position model. The record is from RNAcentral.